ACAUGCAAGUCGAGCGGGAACCACCUUCGGGUGGUGGAGAGCGGCGAACGGGUGAGUAACACGUGGGCAACCUGCCCCUAGCACUGGGAUAACCCCGGGAAACCGGGGCUAAUACCGGAUAUGACUCCGAGCGGCAUCGCUCGGUGUGGAAAGGGUUUACUGGCUAGGGAUGGGCCCGCGGCCUAUCAGCUUGUUGGUGGGGUAAAGGCCUACCAAGGCGACGACGGGUAGCCGGCCUGAGAGGGCGACCGGCCACACUGGGACUGAGACACGGCCCAGACUCCUACGGGAGGCAGCAGUGGGGAAUAUUGCGCAAUGGGCGAAAGCCUGACGCAGCGACGCCGCGUGAGGGACGAAGGCCUUCGGGUCGUAAACCUCUCUCAGCAGGGACGAAGCGAAAGUGACGGUACCUGCAGAAGAAGCACCGGCUAACUACGUGCCAGCAGCCGCGGUAAUACGUAGGGUGCAAGCGUUGUCGGGAAUUAUUGGGCGUAAAGAGCUCGUAGGCGGUUUGUCGCGUCUGUCGUGAAAGUCCGGGGCUUAACCCCGGAUCUGCGGUGGGUACGGGCAGACUAGAGUGCAGUAGGGGAGACUGGAAUUCCUGGUG
This 607-nucleotide ribosomal RNA is filed under the name uncultured Sporichthya sp. RNAcentral's name for it is "bacterial SSU rRNA". It matches the Rfam family "Bacterial small subunit ribosomal RNA", at positions 53 to 675 of the family's 1533-position model. Lineage: Bacteria; Bacillati; Actinomycetota; Actinomycetes; Sporichthyales; Sporichthyaceae. The record is from RNAcentral.